CGCGCAGGCGGUCGAUCAAGUCGAGUGUGAAAGCCCCCGGCUCAACUGGGGAGGGUCAUUCGAUACUGAUCGACUCGAAGGCAGGAGAGGGUAGUGGAAUUCCCGGUGUAGUGGUGAAAUGCGUAGAUAUCGGGAGGAACACCAGUGGCGAAGGCGACUACCUGCCUGUCCUUGACGCUGAGGCGCGAAAGCUAGGGAGCAAACG
Molecule: ribosomal RNA, 205 nt
Filed under: uncultured bacterium
Lineage: Bacteria
Description: partial 16S ribosomal RNA
Rfam family: Bacterial small subunit ribosomal RNA
Source: RNAcentral